Molecule: ribosomal RNA, 1608 nt
Filed under: Triticum aestivum (bread wheat)
Lineage: Eukaryota; Viridiplantae; Streptophyta; Magnoliopsida; Poales; Poaceae
Description: partial small subunit ribosomal RNA
Source: RNAcentral
AUGGAGAUGGUGGAGAAGCUUUCUCUCACCACAAGACCACAUCCACAUCCUUACUACAUCCAAUGGUUCAACAACAGCGGCAAGGUUAAGGUAACACGUACUGUUCGUGUGCAUUUUAGUAUCUCUACAUAUGCUGAUUAUGUUGAUUGUGAUGUGGUACCUAUGCAAGCAUGUUCCUUAUUACUUGGUAGACCAUGGCAAUUUGAUAAAAAUUCUGUACACCAUGGUAGAAACAAUCACUAUACUCUUGUUCAUAAGGAUAAAAAUAUUACUUUGCUUCCUAUGACUCCUGAUUCCAUUUUGAAAGAUGAUAUUAAUAGAGCUAAUAAAGCACAACAGGAGAAGAAUAAGAGUGAAAAUCAGAUUUUGGCAAAAGAAUUUGAGCAACAAAUGAAGCCUAAUAAUAAACCAUCUAGUGUUGCUUCUGAAAUUAAAUUGAAAAGUGCAUGUUUAUUUGCCACCAAAUCUGAUAUUGAUGAGCUAGAUUUCAGCAAAUCUGUUUGCUAUGCUUUUGUGUGCAAAGAGGCAUUAUUUUCAUUCGAGGACGUGCCUUCCUCUUUGCCUCCUGCUGUCACUAACAUUUUGCAGGAGUUCGCUGACGUUUUUCCACAAGACGUGCCACCGGGAUUACCGCCUAUUCGAGGGAUUGAGCAUCAGAUUGACUUAAUUCCCGGUGCUUCACUGCCAAACCGUGCACCAUACCGUACCAAUCCAGAGGAGACGAAGGAGAUUAUGCGUCAAGUACAAGAGCUUCUCGACAAAGGUUAUAUACGCGAAUCCAUUAGUCCUUGUGUUGUUCCUAUUAUUCUAGUGCCGAAAAAGGAUGGUACAUCACGUAUGUGUGUUGAUUGUAGAGGCAUUAAUAAUAUUACUAUUUGUUAUCGUCAUCCUAUUCCUAGGCUAGAUGAUAUGCUUGAUGAAUUGAGUGGCUCUACAAUAUUCUCCAAAGUUGAUUUGCGUAGUGGCUACCAUCAAAUUCGUAUGAAAUUGGGAGAUGAAUGGAAAACAGCAUUUAAAACUAAGUUUGGAUUAUAUGAGUGGUUAGUCAUGCCUUUUGGGUUAACUAAUGCACCUAGUACUUUCAUGAGAUUAAUGAACGAAGUUUUACGUGCUUUCAUUGGACGAUUUGUGGUAGUUUACUUUGAUGACAUAUUGAUUUAUAGCAGAUCUUUGGAGGAACAUUUGGAACAUUUACGUGCUGUUUUUAUUGCUCUACGUGAUGCACGUUUGUUUGGUAACCUUGGUAAGUGCACCUUUUGCACCGACCGAGUAUCUUUUCUUGGCUAUGUUGUUACUCCACAGGGAAUUGAAGUUGAUAAAGCCAAGGUUGAAGCUAUUGAGAGUUGGCCGCAGCCCAAAACGGUCACACAAGUGAGGAGUUUUCUUGGCCUCGCUGGAUUCUAUAGGCGUUUUGUGAGAGAUUUCAGCACCAUUGCUGCACCUCUCAAUGAGCUUACAAAGAAAGAUAUGCCUUUUCUUUGGGGUACCGCACAGGAAGAAGCCUUCACGGUAUUGAAAGAUAAGUUGACACAUGCUCCUUUACUCCAACUUCCUGAUUUUAAUAAGACUUUUGAGCUUGAAUGUGAUGCUAGUGGAAUUGGAUUAUGA